Small nuclear RNA from Cercocebus atys (sooty mangabey), 101 nucleotides. NCBI's taxonomy places the organism in Eukaryota, Metazoa, Chordata, Mammalia, Primates, Cercopithecidae. The record is from Ensembl.
GUUCUCACUUUGACAACACAUAUAUUAAAAUUAGAAUGAUACAGAGAUUAGCGUAGGCCUUGCACCAGGAGGACAUACAAAUUCAUGCACUGUCCAUUUAA